RNAcentral lists this ribosomal RNA (250 nucleotides) under uncultured bacterium. RNAcentral describes it as "partial 16S ribosomal RNA". It matches the Rfam family "Bacterial small subunit ribosomal RNA", at positions 525 to 774 of the family's 1533-position model. The record is from RNAcentral.
ACGAACCGUGCGAACGUUGUUCGGAUUCACUGGGCUUAAAGGGCGCGUAGGCGGGCAAGCAAGUCCGGGGUGAAAUCUUUCGGCUCAACCGGAAAAGUGCCUUGGAUACUGCUUGUCUUGAGGGAGGUAGGGGUCAUGGGAACUUCCGGUGGAGCGGUGAAAUGCGUUGAUAUCGGAAGGAACGCCGGUGGCGAAAGCGCAUGACUGGAUCUCUUCUGACGCUGAGGCGCGAAAGCUAGGGGAGCAAACG